RNAcentral lists this ribosomal RNA (559 nucleotides) under uncultured bacterium. Its description in RNAcentral is "bacterial SSU rRNA". It matches the Rfam family "Bacterial small subunit ribosomal RNA", at positions 338 to 915 of the family's 1533-position model. The record is from RNAcentral.
CCUACGGGAGGCAGCAGUGGGGAAUCUUGCGCAAUGGGCGAAAGCCUGACGCAGCCAUGCCGCGUGAAUGAUGAAGGUCUUAGGAUUGUAAAAUUUCUUUCACCGGGGACGAUAAUGACGGUACCCGGAGAAGAAGCCCCGGCUAACUUCGUGCCAGCAGCCGCGGUAAUACGAAGGGGGCUAGCGUUGCUCGGAAUUACUGGGCGUAAAGGGAGCGUAGGCGGAUAGUUUAGUCAGAGGUGAAAGCCCAGGGCUCAACCUUGGAAUUGCCUUUGAUACUGGCUAUCUUGAGUACGGAAGAGGUAUGUGGAACUCCGAGUGUAGAGGUGAAAUUCGUAGAUAUUCGGAAGAACACCAGUGGCGAAGGCGACAUACUGGUCCGUUACUGACGCUGAGGCUCGAAAGCGUGGGGAGCAAACAGGAUUAGAUACCCUGGUAGUCCACGCUGUAAACGAUGAGUGCUAGUUGUCGGCAGGCAUGCCUGUCGGUGACGCAGCUAACGCAUUAAGCACUCCGCCUGGGGAGUCGGUCGCAAGAUUAAAACNCAAAGGAAUUGAGG